Molecule: ribosomal RNA, 380 nt
Filed under: uncultured marine Chaetocerotaceae
Lineage: Eukaryota; Bacillariophyta; Thalassiosirophyceae; Chaetocerotales; Chaetocerotaceae
Description: SSU rRNA
Rfam family: Eukaryotic small subunit ribosomal RNA
Source: RNAcentral
AGCUCCAAUAGCGUAUAUUUUAGUUGUUGCAGUUAAAAAGCUCGUAGCCGUAUUUCUGGUGGGAGAAUGCAGUCCGACUUUAUGUCGGUACUCGCAUCCUCCGGCCAUCCUUGGGUCUAGCCAGUUUGGCAUUAAGUUGUCGAGCUGGGGAUGCCCAUCGUUUACUGUGAAAAAAUUAGAGUGUUCAAAGCAGACUUAUGUCGUUGAAUAUAUUAGCAUGGAAUAAUAAAAGAGGACAUCAGUGCUAUUUUGUUGGUUUGCGCACCGAUGUAAUGAUAAAUAGGAACAGUUGGGGCUAUUCGUAUUCAUUUGUAAGAGGUGAAAUUCUUAGAUUAAAGGAAGACGAACUACUGCGAAAGCAUUUAGCAGGGAUGUUUUCA